Antechinus flavipes (yellow-footed antechinus) is the source of this 3826-nucleotide RNA transcript. It is a transcript of the gene named zinc finger protein 74-like, with no coding region annotated. NCBI's taxonomy places the organism in Eukaryota, Metazoa, Chordata, Mammalia, Dasyuromorphia, Dasyuridae. The record is from RefSeq and is a predicted model, not a curated record. The transcript is spliced from 6 exons.
CGCAGCCAGCGGGACGGGGGGGCAGCCAGAAUGGGGGGGCAGCCGGAGAGGGGGGACGCAGCCAGCGGGACGGGGGCAGCCAGAGCGAAGGCGCACUGCCCGAGUCCGGGGCCAGAUCGUAACUCAGAGCCCGCUGGCUGCAGGCCCCGCCUUCUGGCCCUGUCACCCCGUGCUUCCACCUCCUGGGGGCAUCCCUGCGCCCCAAAGACAAGAGGCGUUGGAGCACUUUCCAGGACUUUGAGCCGCUGCCUCAGUUUCCUCGUCUGUAAGAAUGCGCUGAGGACAGCUCCGGCUCACGGUGAUGUGGAGGACCAAUCCCUCAGGCGCCUUCUGUGCGCCUGGAGGCGGCCUGAACCUAGACUGGCGGUCAAACACCGGACAGGCCCUGCCCUCCUAGAGCGUAAACUCUAAGGGACAGCCCAGAACCGGAAGCAGAAAGCGCAGUGGGGAGGAGAACGCCUACGACUGCGGGCCCGGCUGGAGAAUUACGUCACUCCCCGCCCCAGUCUCGGCCCCUCCUCCUGGGGCCGCUGCAGAACCCCGGAGCAUGCUGGGAAACUCGAGAUGCGCAGGCGCAACUUCUCCGACGCUUCCCGGUGGUUGGUUCAGCCCUUUGUUCUUGGGCCCCGCUGGGUGAGUGGGGGGCGGGGAGGACGUGCGGAGGGAGCCAGUGCGCAGGCGCGGCCCGGCUCCCGGCGCCCAGGGAGCCCCUCCUCCUUACUCCCCGGGUAGCCCGAAGACACCCGCGGACCCUGCUCGGGCCAGACUCCUGAUUCGGAAGAGAAGGGGAAGACAUCAUCCUUGUCCCGGUUUGCAGCAGACCAAGGCUUGGCCCAAGCAGGGAGCCCAGAGCCAGAGGACAUGGCCCCCGGGACCCAGAGACCCCCGGCUCAGGAGUCGGUGACCUUCCAGGACGUGGCCGUGGACUUCACCCUGGAGGAAUGGGGCCUGUUGGACCAUUCUCAGAAGGCGCUGUACAAGGAGGUCAUGCUGGAGACCUCCCAGAACCUGCUUUCUCUGGGGCUUCCAGUUCUCAGAGAAGAUCUGAUGUCCCCCCUUCAGCCCAGGGGAGCGGCGGGGGGGCCAGCGCAGGGAGGCCGGAGGAGCUCCUGUCCAGCCUUUUGUGUAGCGUCGCUGGGAACCCGCCCUAACUUGGUGUUAUGGAGAACUGGGAGACCAACCCAUUUUCCUGCCACGAUCCAUACCUCAUCAUUUUGGAAUAAGGAACAUCUCAAAUUCGAUAUCCCAUAGCAUUUACAUCUGCUUGCAUCAUCCUCAGAACAGCAAUAAAGGGUGCCCCACUAAGAGCAGAUGAUUACAGAACCGGAAUACCCAAAGAAGGGCCAUCAGCAAGCACAGCGAAUGCCCUGUAUCAUCUCACCCCAGAACUAGGAGGAGGAUUUCAGACUGAUGAAGAGAAGGCGUAUGGGGGAGGUGACAUAUGAGUCAUCUUCAAUUAUCUAGAGGAUUCUCAUGUUUUAGAGUUGGAAAGAAGGUGCAGGAAGCCUGAAGAAGCUGCAGAGGUAAGUCUAGCUUGAUGUAAAUAAAGAAAGAUUGUUAGCAAUCAGAGCUUUCCAGAAGCAGAAGCUCAGAUCCCUCUUUCUGGAAGGUCCUCCCUAAGGGCUGGGCGACUGCUUGUCUGACAGCUCCCACGGCAGCGAGAGAUGGAGAGUCCUGGCCAGGCGACACUGCCGAGUCAUAAAGUUAAAAGGGAGCAGGAGGCUGUUCGGGUCAAAGGGGAUGAACUUGAUCUUUAGCAAAAUCACUUUUCAGCAGCCAUGUGGGGAGGAUGGGCUGGAAUGGGGAGAGAAACAAGGCAGGGAGACUGCGGAGGUGGCUUUUGCCAUGGUCCAGAUGAUGAAGGACUGAACUAGGGUGAGGGCACCUGAGAAGAGGACAGAGGUGGAAGAUGUUGGUGAGGGCAUCUGAGAAGAAGAUAGGAGCAGAAGAUGUUGGGAGGGCAGAAAUUUGGACAGCUGAUUACAUAUAAUAUAUGAGGGAGAAAAUUUGUGAAAAUGGUGACCAAAAGAAAGAUAGUGUCUUUGACAGAAAUAAUUUAGAGAAAAGUGGGUUUUAUGGGAAAGAGAAUGACCUGUUUGCAGUAGUUUGAAUUUAAGAUACUUAGGGGAUUUCUUGUUUGAAAUAUCACUGGGUAUUUGGAGAUGCUCAGAAGAAGGAUAAAAGAUACAUAUAUAGACUGCAGAAUCAUCCACAUAGAGAUAAUUAAGGUUUUGACAGCUGAUUAGGUCAUAAAAUGAGAGAAGAGAAGAGAAAGGAGUUCAUCAGGAGAUUAGGAUGAACACUUACCACUGAGGACACAAAAAUAUGGAUGACCGAGAAGGGGGGAUGCUGGGGAGAGGGAAGAGAAGCCAGGGAGAGCGAGAGGGACCAGAGCCCAAGUGGGUAGUGAUUCACAAUCAGCAAAUACUGAGGAAAACAGAAGGAGGAAGGGUCAGAGCAGUGACUUGAAAUCAGCAGCUUAAAGUGAGCAGGAAAGUCAGUCACACUUUGGAGAGAUAAAAGGCAAGUGAAAAGAGAAAAAGGGAAAGAAUGGAGUACCAAAGAUUUGUGAAAGAGAAAAGGUAAAAGGGAAUAGUUGAGGGAAUGGAGGUGUCUCUUUAUGGUUUUUAAGAAUAGGAAAGCAUUAGCCAUGUUUAUAAGCUGUAAAGGAAAAUUUGAAAGAAAAAUAGGAGAAAUCUGAAGAAGGGAGGGCAUAAUGAACACUGUUAAAUGAUCUUCAGAUGCAGCCAAGGGGAGAAGGAAUUUAUAAUGAAUGGCCUCUUCUCAGUGAACUAUGGGGAGACGGUCUCUGCAGAGAUAGGGAGGCAGAAACAAUAAAAUCCCCAACCCCCAUCACUCAAUAAACUGGAAAAUAUCAAUUACACAAGAAAGAACACUAUAUCUGACGAGAUUUACUCAGAACCCUAGGAAGUAAUUACAUCUCAUCCCAUUUAAAACAGUAAACAACCUCCACAGUAAUGGUCAUGCCAUUCAAAACUUAGGUGAUCAAGUUCCCUUCUUUUCAUGAAAAAGAGACCGUAUGAAUUAUUUAAAGAAGCAACACAACAUAGCAAUGGCCACCAGAAAGUAUUCUAGGUUUUCCAUUGUGAAAAUUCAAAUUAAAAAAAAAUAGACAAGGAGAUGAAUCAUAUUUUGAAAAUUCAAAAUUAUAACAGUUAAUGCUGGAUUAUGUGAAUGUUCAUAAUAGUCAAGAAAAAUUCUAAUUUAAAAGUUUAAUGCUGGUGGGAUUGGGGGAAAAUAGACAAAUAUAAAUUGCUAAAGGUAAGAAAUAGUAGCAUCUUUUGGCAAAGUAAAUUGAGUAGACUACAACAAAAUUACAAAAGCUGUUCCCACCCUGGGAUGCAGGGAUGCUAUCAAUUAGUCACCAGGUGGGACUCGUGGGGGGCCACCAAGAAUAACCUAAGGGUGCCACCGAUAAGGAGACAAAGACAUUCCCCUGCAAAAGGCUGAGAAGACUAUUAUUUGUCAUAUCGAAAACUUUAAAAUAAGCCGUAUGUCCAAUAAUGACCAGGGGCAAAGGAAAUUGUUACAUGCUUUUAAUGUACGGAAUUAAGACAUAAGAAAAUAGAGAUGAGAAUAAUAAUUAAGAGAAAACUCAUUAGAAAUGAGAGAGAAGGGGGAAACAGAAUUAGUGCCUACAAAGCACUACGAUGUGAAAAAUAGUAAAUAGGAGACUCUGAAAUCUAAAAAACACAGAAGCAAAGAGUUCACAAACAGCCCAGGAUACAAACGAGACCUUUGUCAUACUAUGCUGAUCAAGUUAGUUUGUACUUUAAAAUAAAGCGGUGGUGACUGGGUGAGAUCA